UGAAACGCUCUGUUUCAGCGCAUUUUGACGGAAUUGCAACAGAAUUCCGUUGCUAGGAAUAACUGAACUGAAGAACAAGUAGGCUACCAAAAGGCAAUGGAGUUAUCAAGUAUAGCAAACCAGGCACUUCAUGAAACUGUUUUUAGUUGGACUUCAACCAUAUUUCAUUAAACAUAUUUAUUAUC
Long non-coding RNA from Sebastes umbrosus (honeycomb rockfish), 185 nucleotides. RefSeq lists it as uncharacterized. The transcript is spliced from 2 exons. The record is from RefSeq and is a predicted model, not a curated record. Lineage: Eukaryota; Metazoa; Chordata; Actinopteri; Perciformes; Sebastidae.